GAAGGUAUAGCUUAGUGGAAGAGUGCAUAUUUACUAUGCACGAGGUCCUGGGUUCAAUCCCCAGUACCUCCA
Molecule: transfer RNA, 72 nt
Filed under: Camelus bactrianus (Bactrian camel)
Lineage: Eukaryota; Metazoa; Chordata; Mammalia; Artiodactyla; Camelidae
Also listed under: 2 other names
Rfam family: tRNA
About the family: Transfer RNA (tRNA) molecules are approximately 80 nucleotides in length. Their secondary structure includes four short double-helical elements and three loops (D, anti-codon, and T loops).
Source: Rfam by way of RNAcentral